GAUGAACGCUGGCGGCGUGCCUAAUACAUGCAAGUCGAGCGAACAGACGAGGAGCUUGCUCCUCUGACGUUAGCGGCGGACGGGUGAGUAACACGUGGAUAACCUACCUAUAAGACUGGGAUAACUUCGGGAAACCGGAGCUAAUACCGGAUAAUAUAUUGAACCGCAUGGGUCAAUAGUGAAAGACGGUUUUGCUGUCACUUAUAGAUGGAUCCGCGUCGCAUGAGCUAGUUGGUAAGGUAACGGCUUACCAAGGCAACGAUGCGUAGCCGACCUGAGAGGGUUAUCGGCCACACUGGAACUGAGACACGGUCCAGACUCCUACGGGAGGCAGCAGUAGGGAAUCUUCCGCAAUGGGCGAAAGCCUGACGGAGCAACGCCGCGUGAGUGAUGAAGGUCUUCGGAUCGUAAAACUCUGUUAUUAGGGAAGAACAAAUGUGUAAGUAACUAUGCACGUCUUGACGGUACCUAAUCAGAAAGCCACGGCUAACUACGUG
Molecule: ribosomal RNA, 497 nt
Filed under: uncultured bacterium
Lineage: Bacteria
Description: partial 16S ribosomal RNA
Rfam family: Bacterial small subunit ribosomal RNA
Source: RNAcentral